RNA transcript from Cinclus cinclus, 787 nucleotides. It is a transcript of the gene named transmembrane protein 141, with no coding region annotated. The transcript has 6 exons. The record is from RefSeq and is a predicted model, not a curated record. NCBI's taxonomy places the organism in Eukaryota, Metazoa, Chordata, Aves, Passeriformes, Cinclidae.
AUGGUGAACCUGGGCGUGCGGCGGGUGGAGGAUGAAGUGGCCACCAAGCACCCGGCGCUGCAGCAGUACGCGGCCUGCCAGUCUCACGCCUUCAUGAAGGGCAUCGGCACCUUCCUGGCAGGCGGCGGGGCCGCCUUUGCGGCGCAAAAGGUGGCGCAGCAGAAGCUGCCGUACAGCCCGCAGUGGAGCCUGCUGCUGGCUGUGGCUGCAGGGACCCUCGGAAGUUACGUGGUAACCAGAGCUGAGACGCAAAAAUGCUCCAACUUCUGGAUUUACCUGGAGACAGGCAAGUCCCCACAGGAGCUCGCCGUGACUGAUGGGGUGUCUCAGCCCUCAGAAAACCUCCCCAGUGCAGAGGACAGGGAUGGCAGUGCAACGUUGGUGAGGAAGAACAGGUACGGCGAUGUGGUGGACUAGCCAGCAGCGCUUAGCAUGCUGUGCUCAUGUCCUGCUUCACCCCAUCUUGCCUGCCCAGCCCGACACCGCCCAUGUGCCUUGGUGACACUGAUGGAAAGCUCAGAAGACUUGAUCCUGCAGCAAGAGUGUGGUGGAGGAACCUCAUGGAUUGCUGUUGCCUGGCCUAUGGCCUCUGCAAAUUGCACUGCAGCUCUGAUCCAGCUACAACUGAAUUUCUUAGAAGAGGAAACCCAGCCUGAAUUCUGGGAGCUGCCUGGGUUCUUAGAGCAGCAUUUCCACUUCAGGAACCAGAAGUGCCUUCUCCAUGUGAGAUAUGUCCACAGGCCCAGAACCUCACCACAGGAGGGCAUCCCUGUGCUGAGGAGAUGGG